Molecule: ribosomal RNA, 454 nt
Filed under: uncultured Ruminococcus sp.
Lineage: Bacteria; Bacillati; Bacillota; Clostridia; Eubacteriales; Oscillospiraceae
Description: partial 16S ribosomal RNA
Rfam family: Bacterial small subunit ribosomal RNA
Source: RNAcentral
ACGGGAGGCAGCAGUGAGGAAUAUUGGUCAAUGGGCGGAAGCCUGAACCAGCCAUGUCGCGUGCAGGACUACGGCCCUACGGGUCUUAAACUGCUUUUGCAAGGGGAUAAAGUGGGGCACGCGUGCCCCUUUGCAGGUACCUUGCGAAUAAGGAUCGGCUAACUCCGUGCCAGCAGCCGCGGUAAUACGUAGGGAGCAAGCGUUAUCCGGAAUUACUGGGUGUAAAGGGAGUGUAGGCGGGACUGUAAGUCAGAUGUGAAAUAUGCCGGCUCAACUGGCAGACUGCAUUUGAAACUGCGGUUCUUGAGUGAAGUAGAGGUAAGCGGAAUUCCUAGUGUAGCGGUGAAAUGCGUAGAUAUUAGGAGGAACAUCAGUGGCGAAGGCGGCUUACUGGGCUUUAACUGACGCUGAGGCUCGAAAGCGUGGGGAGCAAACAGGAUUAGAUACCCUGGUA